CCUACGGGAGGCAGCAGUGGGGGAUAUUGCACAAUGGGGGGAACCCUGAUGCAGCGACGCCGCGUGGGUGAAGAAGCGCCUCGGCGUGUAAAGCUCUGUCAGUAGGGAAGAAAAUGACGGUACCUGAAGUAGAAGCCCCGUCUAAUACGGGGCCAGCAGCCGCGGUAAUACGGAGGGGGCAGCCGUAAUCCGGAUUUACUGGGUGUAAAGGGGGCGCAGACGGAGUUGAAAGCCAGUGGUGAAAGGCCGGGGCCCAACCCCGGAACUGCUCUUGGAACUGCGUGGCUAGAGUGAAGGAGGGGCAGGCGGAAUGCCUGGUGUAGCGGUGAAAUGCGUAGAUAUCAGGCAGAACACCGGUGGCGAAGGCGGCCUGCUGAACUACAACUGACGUUGAGGCCCGAAAGCGUGGGGAGCAAACAGGAUUAGAUACCCUAGUAGUC
RNAcentral lists this ribosomal RNA (440 nucleotides) under uncultured bacterium. Its description in RNAcentral is "partial 16S ribosomal RNA". It matches the Rfam family "Bacterial small subunit ribosomal RNA", at positions 338 to 795 of the family's 1533-position model. The record is from RNAcentral.